RNAcentral lists this ribosomal RNA (253 nucleotides) under uncultured bacterium. RNAcentral describes it as "partial 16S ribosomal RNA". It matches the Rfam family "Bacterial small subunit ribosomal RNA", at positions 524 to 776 of the family's 1533-position model. The record is from RNAcentral.
UACGAGAGGCCCAAACGUUAUUCGGAAUCACUGGGCUUACAGAGUUCGUAGGCGGUCUGGAAAGUUGGGUGUGAAAUCCCUCGGCCUAACCGAGGAACUGCGCUUGAAACUACCAGACUCGAGGGAGAUAGAGGAAAGCGGAACUGAUGGUGGAGCGGUGAAAUGCGUUGAUAUCAUCAGGAACACCGGUGGCGAAGGCGGCUUUCUGGGUCUUACCUGACGCUGAGGAACGAAGGCCAGGGGAGCGAACGGG